RNAcentral lists this ribosomal RNA (331 nucleotides) under uncultured eukaryote. RNAcentral describes it as "partial 18S ribosomal RNA". It matches the Rfam family "Eukaryotic small subunit ribosomal RNA", at positions 1470 to 1796 of the family's 1831-position model. The record is from RNAcentral.
CCCCUAGAUGUUCUGGGCCGCACGCGCGCUACACUGUUCGACGCAGCGAGUCUUAACCUUGACCGAAAGGUUUGGGUAAUCUUCAGCAAAGUCGAACGUGAUGGGGAUCGAUCAUUGCAAUUAUUGAUCGUGAACGAGGAAUUCCUAGUAAGUGCAAGUCAUCAGCUUGCGCUGAUUACGUCCCUGCCCUUUGUACACACCGCCCGUCGCUACUACCGAUUGAAUGGUUUAGUGAGAUCUCUGGAUUGACGCUGGCUAGGGGGCGACCCUUGGCCAGGCUGUCGAGAAACUGCUCAAACUUGAUCAUUUAGAGGAAGUAAAAGUCGUAACA